AGGAGCAGCAAACAGCCAUGGAAGAAGAGUGCCCAAGAGUGACCACACCUGAAACCAAACACUGAAAGGACAUCGACUAAUGUGGAGCUGCUUCAAGACCUCUGACAACCCAAAUAGUGUUUCCAGUGUCACUUCACUUUCCGUGGGAGUUUGUGGGACACCUCCAGCAGUGACUUGCACUCUCACUUCCCAUGUGCCCUCAGCCACUGGAGGAAGGUGCAGUGGAGCUCAGGAGAUCUCUGCAGUCUG
This is a long non-coding RNA of Lepidothrix coronata (blue-crowned manakin), 249 nucleotides long. RefSeq lists it as uncharacterized. The record is from RefSeq and is a predicted model, not a curated record. Lineage: Eukaryota; Metazoa; Chordata; Aves; Passeriformes; Pipridae. The transcript is spliced from 3 exons.